RNAcentral lists this long non-coding RNA (1326 nucleotides) under Marmota monax (woodchuck). The record is from RNAcentral. Lineage: Eukaryota; Metazoa; Chordata; Mammalia; Rodentia; Sciuridae.
GAAGAAGAAAGAAGAAGAAGAAGAAGAAGAAGCAGCAGCAGAAGAAGCAGAAGCAGCAGCAGCAGCAGCAGCUCAGUGAGAUCCUAUCUCAAAACAAAAAGUAAAAUGGACUUGGGAAGUGAUUCACUGGUUAAGUGCCCUUGAGUUCAAUCCUCCAUAUCAAAAAAAAAAAAAAAAAAAAAAGAAGUAUACUUGUAAAUUGUUUUGCACAGGUAUUGGUCAAGUGAAAUGGGACUCUAUCACUUAUGAUGACUUUCAGCUUUUUUUCCCCUUUUCUCUUCUGGGACUGAGGAUUGAACCCAAAGCUUCAUACAUGCUAGACAAGCAUUUUGCCACUAAGCCAUAUCCUCAGCCAAAGUCUCUUCUUUUUCAAACCAUAUUUGUAAAUCAGUAAUUACACCACAAUACAGUCCUAUCCAAACAGACAUACUUAAGUUUUUUUUUGAAGUAUUAACUCUAUUGCAGAGUUAUUUAUUAUUCAGAGUACCUGUUAGCAACAUCACAGAACUACUAUUACUUUAUUACAUUCUCCUUUCUAGUUGAGUUGCAAGAAACUGAACACAGUGGGAUUGAUAAAAUAAGCAACAUUAUAUACAAAACAAGGGUGAAUAUUUUAUUGGAUUGUAUUUGUUAAUCAUAUUUUGGCCUCAUGAGCACUCAUGUUCUUUGAAUUGUACCAUUUCCAUAGAUAUUUGGGGAUUUGAAUAGAGUCUGUAUACAUUGAUCCACUUCCUUCCCUGGAGGACCAAGGCUUAAGAAGAGUGAAUGAUUUGCCCAAGGCCACACUAUUUGUUAAUGGUAGAACAGUGUUACAUAGAGAGUAUCCAUAGGUAUUUUGGUAGUUUGGUAAUUAUAGUUCAUUUGACAAAAUCAUACUAUCAAGCUUGGAAGGAAGUGCAAUGAUUGCAUUCCAUAUCUCCUGGUCUCUAACAUUCCUUUAUCAGGGGACAUCUGGAGGAAUCAGCAAAAAGCCAUGUUGCUGAGGGUGGGGGAGGGAGGAGGGUUUCAACACUUUCAUUUUCACAUUGACAUGAUGAUAUAAAGGAGCUGGAUGCAGGAACAGAGUAGAUGACUAUAUGAGACCCCAGCACCUGUGACAAAGUGAUGUGUUUAACUCUGGCCUUCAUCUUUUUAUCUUUGUUGUGCUGGAGAUUGAACCCAGGGCCUUGUGCAUGCUAGGUAAAUGCUCUACCACUGAGAUACAUCCCCAGCCCAACCCUGGCAUCCCUUUAAUCACAUGGCAUUGCCACAAAGAUAGAAGAAUGAAGGGGUAGUUAGGACACAGAGGAAGCUUGAUGGGCAGGGGUAACAACUGUAAAAUUUGUC